Long non-coding RNA from Mauremys reevesii (Reeves's turtle), 1276 nucleotides. RefSeq lists it as uncharacterized. The record is from RefSeq and is a predicted model, not a curated record. The transcript is spliced from 5 exons. Lineage: Eukaryota; Metazoa; Chordata; Testudines; Geoemydidae.
AGUACCUGACACUACUUUUAUCUCAUUUUUAAAAACUAACUUUCAAAUUGAUGUCCCUCUGACUUCAUACUAGUGAGGGUGAGGGAAGCAAGUAGGAUCCCUUCUACCUGUCCUCUAAAAUUUCAGAAAUAAUCUUUGUGCAUCUAGCUAUAUGAAGUAAAUUGAAAAAAAUUGUCUUACCCAAUCUCAUACAAUUUCACACCCACUUUUCUAAAGGCGUGUUGUCAAUUUUACAAUGUAUGAUCCUGAUUCAGCAACUGGAGCUGUUCAUUGGAUGCAGAGUUCUUUGUGAGCAGAUCCAGUUGCAAAAUCUAGUAGCUUGUGAAAGUGACUGUCUCCCAAAAAACCCUACUCAGUAUAGGGUGACCAGUUGUCCCGAUUUUAUAGGGACUUUGUUUUAUAUAGGCACCUAUUACCCACCACCCCGUCCUGAUUUUCACACUUGCUGACUGGUCAUCCUAACUCAGCUACUACCUAUUCCAGCAUAUGCUCCAUUCCCAAAUGGAUCCUUAAUACAAAUAUCUAUUACUACUGUGCCCUACCCAUCUAAAAAGCGUGACCUUUAAUAGGUUUUUGUUCAUUGGUACUUGCUCAGAGUAAAAUGCACGGUACAAAAGAACUGCAGUUCUCCCCCAUUUUACCUUGCAGACUACCCUUCCAGUUGAGGCUAAGUGGACCAGUCCCUUUGAAUAUUCCUUUAUUAAAAACAGCCAGAAUGCUACACCAGUACAAGAAUGGACACUUUGAGUAUAGCAAACCAAUUGUAGGAUUUGUCCUCAACCUCAUCCAACAGAGAAGUGACUAUGAAAGAAAAAGAUGCCUUCUGGCCUCAUCAUGUUUCUGGACCAUCCAAACAUACAAGUUCUGCAUUUAGCUUUUCAGAUGUGAUCCCAACAAUUGUCUUCAGCUUCUAGCAAGAGAAAUACAAAUGUAUUGAAUACUCCUCGUAUGAGCCAAACAGAGAUUCCAGAAGUAUCCAAUUAAAAGUUCAAAGCACAACUCUUCCUUAACAGUUCCAACAAGAAUGCAAAGACCAUUACUCUUCACAUUGAAGGACUAGAUAAUGUGGAAGAAGAGAUAGGCGAGCCUUGAUACAAAUCAAGCUUUUACAAGCCUUCUUUUGACCAUCAUUGUACUGCUGGCUUCUGAAUUAGACUAAACAGACUAGCGGAGGAUUCACAAGAUUUAUCAAGACACUGAAAGCAACAAACUAAAAUGGAGACAUUUGAGAAUGAUAAUUUGAAAAAAGUGUUGGAUAUAUAAUAUUAAAGAAGAC